This 351-nucleotide ribosomal RNA is filed under the name uncultured bacterium. Its description in RNAcentral is "partial 16S ribosomal RNA". It matches the Rfam family "Bacterial small subunit ribosomal RNA", at positions 338 to 686 of the family's 1533-position model. The record is from RNAcentral.
CCUACGGGAGGCUGCAGUGAGGAAUAUUGGUCAAUGGUCGCGAGCCUGAACCAGCCAAGUAGCGUGAAGGAUGACUGCCCUACGGGUUGUAAACCUCUUUUAUAAAGGAAUACAGUGAGGCACGUGUGCCUUUUUGUAUGUACUUUAUGAAUAAGGAUCGGCUAACUCCGUGCCAGCAGCCGCGGUAAUACGGAGGAUCCGAGCGUUAUCCGGAUUUAUUGGGUUUAAAGGGUGCGUAGAUGGGUUGUUAAGUCAGUGGUGAAUGUUUGCGGGUCAACCGUAAAAUUGAAAUUGAUCCUGGGAGUAUUGAGUACGGUUUAGGUAGGCGGAAUUCGUGGUGUAGCGGUGAAA